CCUACGGGAGGCAGCAGUGGGGAAUAUUGGGCAAUGGAGGAAACUCUGACCCAGCAACGCCGCGUGAAGGAUGAAGGUUUUCGGAUUGUAAACUUCUGUCGCGAGGGAUGAAGAAUGACGGUACCUCGUAAGAAAGCCCCGGCAAACUACGUGCCAGCAGCCGCGGUAAUACGUAGGGGGCGAGCGUUGUCCGGAAUGACUGGGCGUAAAGCGCUCGUAGGCGGUAUGUCAAGUCAAGGGUGAAAGCCCCGCGCUCAACGUGGGAACUGCCGUUGAAACUGGCAAACUGGAGUGUGUGAGAGGAUAGUGGAAUUCCAGGUGUAGGAGUGAAAUCCGUAGAUAUCUGGAGGAACAUCAGUGGCGAAGGCGACUAUCUGGCACAUAACUGACGCUGAGGAGCGAAAGCGUGGGUAGCAAACAGGAUUAGAUACCCGGGUAGUC
This 441-nucleotide ribosomal RNA is filed under the name uncultured bacterium. Its description in RNAcentral is "partial 16S ribosomal RNA". It matches the Rfam family "Bacterial small subunit ribosomal RNA", at positions 338 to 795 of the family's 1533-position model. The record is from RNAcentral.